GCAGAACGCGAAGAACCUUACCCACACUUGACAUGCCUCUUUUGGCUUUCAGAGAUGAUUGCCUUCGGUUCGGCCGGGGAGUGCACAGGUGCUGCAUGGCUGUCGUCAGCUCGUGUCGUGAGAUGUUGGGUUGAGUCCCGCAACGAGCGCAACCCUUAUCGUAUGUUGCCAGCAUUUAGUUGGGCACUCGUGCGAGACUGCCGGUGAUAAGCCGGAGGAAGGCGGGGACGACGUCAAGUCAUCAUGGCCCUUACGUGUGGGGCUAGAAACGUGCUACAAUGGGAGUGACAGUGAGCAGCGAGGUCGCGAGGCCAAGCUAAUCUCCAAAAGCUCUCUCAGUUCAGAUUGUAGUCUGCAACUCGACUACAUGAAGUUGGAAUCGCUAGUAAUCGCAAAUCAGCAUGUUGCGGUGAAUACGUUCCC
RNAcentral lists this ribosomal RNA (423 nucleotides) under uncultured bacterium. Its description in RNAcentral is "bacterial SSU rRNA". It matches the Rfam family "Bacterial small subunit ribosomal RNA", at positions 954 to 1375 of the family's 1533-position model. The record is from RNAcentral.